GUAAUAGUUAGCUGAGAUCUUUGGAGAGUUCUGAGCCCCUUUAAUGCGUGGCAUAUGUCAGAGGGAUUCAGCUAAUUCACAUAUCUGUCUGCACUAUUAAUAGAGAAGGUUACAUGCCAAUUAUCCAGGCUUCAAUCAGCCUGUUUGGAUACAAUAGAGGCAGUGUUCACACACUUGAUGUGCCACAUUCCUUGCCGACAUCAGAAGCAGCUGGGCCCGAUAAAGACCUCUGGGAUUCUGAUAUUUGGGGAUCACGUCCACGGAAGAGCAGGAACUGAGACUUGAUUGCUCUGUCGACUCCAGAAACGGGACUAGAAGUGCCGCAAUCUCAUCAGAAAAUGCAGCUUCCGGUGGUAUUUUUCACCAGGAACAGAAGCAGAAGUGUGCAGAAUCACCCGAGAAAGCCCCAGCUCUCCUGAGAGCCGUUCUCGAAUUUUGCUGGCACAGAGCACUGGGAGGUGAAUUGCAAUGUCAGCGCCUGGAAAUUGGGACUCAGACUCCUUAAACUCUCUUCUCACAAGGGUGUCUCUGCCUCCAUCGUUUCUGCACGUGCUAAAGGCAGAAGAAGAGGCAGAGGCUGCUGCGUCUCCUGGCAGGCGGGCCAGUUGGAACAAAGACACCAGCGGGGCCACCUCGGAAAGCAAUCUGGAGAAGUCCCAGCAAACAGCAUUUAGGGGAAGGGGAAAAACGCCUGUGGACCUGAUAAUGCAUCACGUCCCAUUGUUAAGGAGGCAAAAAGCAGAAAUUUACCUUGAAGGCUCAUGGGAGUUUGAUUUCCCUGGAAAGACAUGACCCACAUUUCUCACGGAUUGUGGGUCAAUAUUUGACCAUCUCCUCUUAUUUUCUCAUCUUCGUGUUUAAGAUUUAAAAUACAAGUACUAUGUAAUCUCUUUAAAAGAUUCAAACAGUAUAAAAUUAAGGUAGAGUCAAAGUUCCUCAUUCCUUUUGCUCACCCCCACUGGCUCAUUCACUAGAGAUAGCUAACAAUUACUUUUAACACUGUCAAACAUAUCCUUCCAGACGUGUUCGGUAAGUAUGCAAAUAUAUACAUUUGUGUCCAUAUAUUGUCAAAUAUAUGUAUGUGUCUAUAUAUACACACACAGACGUUCUCUGUUUUAAAUAUUCUACAGGAAUCAUAUUUAUAGACAAUAUUAUACAACUUGGUUUUUUUUUCCACUUAAAAUAUCUAUCAUGGGUAAUUAUCUGCGUCUAUGUGCAUUUUUAAAAACUUAGCUAUAAAGUUUGAGAAAAGUGUAAUUAUGCUCCCCAGGGAGGGGGGCAUUCAGACCAAAGGGCUUGUGGGGAAGGGCGAGGCUCCCCCCACCCCCACAGACAAUCACUGUUAGCAGUUUUUAGUGUAUCAUUCCAGAAAUAGUCUACGCGCAGACCAGCAUAUAUGGAUAUCAAAUAUUCACACCUGUCUUUGUCUUUACCAAGUAUCUUUCACCUGGCGUGUUUCACUCAGGUCUCUUGGAGAGCACUUCACAUUAGAAAAAAUUGACCUUUUAAAUGAUGGUGUCGUACUUCUUUGAAUGGCGCUCCUUAAUGUAUUUCACUCGUCCUUUUAGAUGGACUUUGGGUGGAUUUCAGUUUUUGCUUCUACAAACAGUGCUGCAAUAAAUAGUCGAGUGCACACCCUGUGAGUCUUUGCUCAAACACACUCACCCCUUCCUGAAAGCAACACCUAUACCCCACACCUCUCCUCAAAUUGCGUUAAUCCGAAGAACUGAUUGAAUCAACUUUUUUUUUUUUUAAAAAGAGGGUUUAAAACUGAGUAUUAAUAAUCCAUUAAGAAUCUGUUAUGAAUACGUGCCCCUUCCUGCAGUUUUGAAUCUUUCCUCCAGCUUGAAAGUGAGGCUCAUGAAAAAAAAAGAAAGUCAUUUUUCCCCCCCACGCCCACCCCCGCCCAGGAGUCAGCCAUGCCAAAAUCAUUGCAUUAGCAUCCUGUGCCUGCUUAUUACAAAUGCAGGCUGCACGUUGGGUAAUUCCUUCCCAUCUACUUCUUUCAUCCUGGGCUCAGAGAAAGAUCGCAACUCACUCUUACAACUUAGGUACUGCUCCCUGCUCUUUUCUGUAUGCAAGAGUUGAAGCCAUUGGGGAUUGAGAACAAAGUGUGUCCGUGGAAAGAAGUGGGUGGGAUUUGGUGUAUGCAGGAGGAUGGGGGGGCACCCCCUCCCGGGGGAGGAGUCUGAUUUCAUUAUACAGUUGGAAACCUGAUGAAAUCAUGUACACAACUGAAUCUUUUUGCUCAGCUAGUGAGGUCUUUCUGUUCUUUGUCUUGCUGUGUGUGCAGCAAAUUUCUGUUACGCCCGGGAAGAAGGAAAUUUGAGUUAAAGAGCAGGGCAGCUCCAUAUGCCUUGUAACAAGCAAGCUAAUUGAAAAAUUUAAUUCAGGAAGAGAUGCAACGAGGCCAAAAUGAAAGAGGAACUAGGCCUGUCGAUGUUCAGAGCAGGAAAACCGAAGAAGUUAUCUCCAAGUUAAAAAUUAUGCGAGGCUGGAAAAUACAUCACCUGCUGUAUUUGUUAUAGAAAUUCACAGUCUUGUUUGCUGUUUAUCUUGAGGCUCGGGGAGCUCUCCUGCUGCUUAGGAAAAAAGAGGCGAGGUCUGGGAAGAAAUGCUAGUAAUAAGAAAGGGAGGGAUUAGAAACCCCAGAGAGAAUGGGAGGUGUAAAUAAUAUGUGGGCAUUUGACAAUCAGCACAAAGAAAUGGGAGACAAAGGCAAAUGGCUGAUGCCAGAAAUCCUAAACACUUAAGUGGGAAACUUGGACAAGAGAAAAAUGUCCCAAAGGAAAAGGAAAACAAAAUCCCAGGAGAUCUUUUUCCUCUGUGAUGUUGUCUAAUGGAGUAAAUAAAGAUUGGUUUUGCCACGUUGCUCCUGCGAGCAAUGCUAUAUGCAAAGGCACUGGCUUCCUGAUGGCCUUUGAAGCUCUCUCCAGGCCAGCCUGAGCCUUAGGACCAGAUGGAGGAAUCUUGGGGAACAGUUUUCUCCUCCAGAAAGGAGUUGAGAAUGGGCCAGAAGGAGCCCUUGGCAGGGACAGAGUGAUCCCUCUCUCCAAAGAGUCCAAUCUUUUGGGGUCCUCUGCUCUUCUCUUUUUUUCUCCCAGAACCCUACCUUGAAUGGAAUUGCUUAGGAAAGGAGAAAAGGCAUUUUUUAGCUAAAAGCUAAAGUAGGACCAAGUUAAACUUGCUGGACAAUGGAAAUUUCUUCCUGAGGCUGUCUGCUGAGGUCGAGCGUGACACUUCCUAAUUGCAUGACUUGGGCAGACUGCUUUCUCUACCGUAAGAAGAGGAUUAUAACAACAACAAUAAUAAUAGGUAACAUUUAUAGAACCCUUACAUGGAAUAAUUUCUACCCUGAUCCAUUUUAUCCUCUGAACCUAAUGAGUUAGGAUAGUUACGAUGUCCAUUCUACAGAUGAAUGGAGACUCAGCCAGAUCGCCAGCUAGAAAAUGGUACAGGCAAAAUAUAUUUCUAGGUCAGGGGUUGGCAAUUACAGUCCAAUGGCCAAGUCCGGCUCAACGCCUGUUUUUGUAAAUAAAGUUUUAUUGGAACACAGCCACGAUCAUUUGGUUAUAAUUGCCUCUGACUGCUUUGGAGCUAUGAUGAUAGAGACACUAUGGUCUGCACAGCCCAAAAUAUUUACUCUCCAUUUCUUUACAGAAAAAGUUGGCAGAUGCUUGCACUAAAUCCCCCAGGCCCAAGCUCUUAACCCCAUCUGUGUUCUUCUCCUCCAAAAAUGUCUCAUUUUUUUCUUUAAAUGUGAUGCUGAACAGGAAAAACUAAUCUAACAUGUCAGAAAUAAUAAUAGUGAUUGGAGAAUUUAAUUUGUUAGAGGCCCAAGAAUAUUAAAAACAAGCAAAAACAAACUUUUCUUUCUUUUCCUUUUUUUGUCUCAAAAUUAGAAACUGUUUACAUCCUAAAUUUAAGACAAACAAAAAAACCUUGCAUUGCCUUACCAGCUUUAUUGAAACUGCAUAUAAACGCUUAUCUAAAAACCAAAAUUUCUAGAGUCAUUUCCAAAAUAAUGAAGGAAUGGAAUACAGUUUUCCAGGUGACAUAACAUUUUUUUUCCGUAUGUUAUUUUCAAAACUGCAAGUAGAAUAAGUUGUUAAAGUAAGAAGCUCCCAGUUUUGAAUCUGAUGUUCACCCUAUAAUAGUAAUGUACAAACUCUCGGCGUUUGGAGCUUUGUUUAUAAAUGUAAAAUUUCUGUAACCAAAGGGGAAUGAAAACUAAGGACAGUUGGGGUUGCUAACUCAACAGUUAUUUUCUCUUCUUUCCUACAAAUGGAAGUUGGAGAUCUUGGAAACUGAUCCGUGUUGCCACGUGAACUGUUUCUGGUAUUGUAACACUGGUUUAGUUUGUCAUAGGUCUCCCGGAUUGAUGAGUGUAGCUACAUAUCCAGGUUUUAAAAAACGUUAGUGAACAAAAUUAAUAAUAGUAUCUUCUGUAUCUCGUAUCUGCCGGGCGCUGUGGGCUGGGAGUUCUGAAUACAUAGUGCUGAGGGCCGAUAACUCGACAAGCAGGGGGUUACUAUUUGUAUUUCUAGAUGAGAACAAUGAGAUCCAGGUGCAUAAGGUGUCCAGUUAAUACAUGACUGAUUGACCUCGAAAUCCUGAGCCCCGAUUCCAUACUCUUUCCCCUCUAAGAGGAGGUCUGUCACUGAUUGUUCUUCCUUUCAUUGACCCAAUUCUUACCUACUUUGUUGUCUACCAUGUCUCAGGCACUGCACUCAGCUCUGGGGAUUCAACAGCGAACAAAACAGAUAACUAAGUCAACAAGUUCAUGACCAGGAUAUUUUUGGAGGAUGAGGAGUGCCAAGAGGGAAAUUAAACAGGAUAGAUGGGAUGGCAAGUGUCUAAGUCCGGCGUAGCAAUAUAGGAUGGGGAGGCCAAGGAAAAGACUUGAAUGAGGAAUAAAAGCCACAAGAGAAAGAUCUAGAUAAUAGAAGAAAGUUCCAGACAGAGGAAACAGCAAAGCACAUUCCUUGAGAUGGAAAGAUCUUGGUAUGUUGAGAAGUUAUGUUGAUACUUUCUGGCUCUCGCCAAUUCAGCAGCCAUUAAGACUUGUCUAAGCUUGAAGGUCCUAGGUGCUGUCUUCUAAGGGCUGAGCGUUUACCCUCAGUUCUAAGACAUUUGGCUCCGAUUUCCUAACACUGCUAUCUCCUUCUCCUUAUCAGAGGGGAGCAAGCUGUUCCUCAUUUAUUUGUGACUGGAAACAAGAAGUUACCAAUGACUGAGUACACGCCUUGCACUGUACUAACUGCUUAAUUGCAUUAUCUCAUUGAAUCUGCAAAACCACCCCACUGAAUUACGGUAGAACACUCUUAAUCCAGGUCGAUGCUGUGCUGAGAGUUUUAAGGAAAUUAAUUUCUAGAAUUUACAUGUUUAUACUUACAUUUACUUAUUCCUAAAACUGCCUUGGAAUGCUCCUGUAGGCCUAAACUCAACUGGAACAACCCUUUUCUGCCAUUACAGAGAAGUCUGUGGAGGGUAAGUACAGCAGUAUCUUUAUGGAGCGUUGAAGAGGUAGGCGGUGUGAUAACCUUCAAGGUAACAAACAAAGAGAUUAAUCAGCAUGUUGGUUUGGGGGAAUCCUCCUUUAAUGGUUAAUCAAAGCACCUAGAUGUGGGCAUCCUGUCUUACUGUAUCUUACAUGCAUUUUUUUCUAGGGAGCUUUCAGAACAACCACAGAAGUAUAAUGAUAUUGUUAAUUCUUAUAAAUGUAAUGGGAAUAUUUUCUAGAACCAUCCAGUAUUUCAGGAUACAUAAAAAUGUCCUAGGAUAAAAAUUGUAUACGGUUUCUUUCAGAUUGUGUUGGUGCUGUUCAAUACAUUAGUUACAACUUAUUAAACUUAUUUAAAAAAACAUUUUAUCAAAUCGUAUGAAAUAUGGAUUCCAAUUACAGUCACCAUAGUAUUUUUUUCUUACAAAAUGCUUACUAUUUUCUAUUUCUUAUUAAGAAAAAAUGGACUUAUUUGAAUUCUGGUAAAAAUUUAAGAUGUCAACUUAUAUAAGGGACUGUGUCUUUUUUUUCUCAAAAUUAUGUGAGAAAAAAAUGAGAUCAUUAGUUUAACAGAUCUUGGUAGUUGUCUGCCUAGUAGCAAUUGCUAAUUAUUUUCUUUGCUGAUAAAACUCAACUUACACGCACACCUACACAUACAUAUUUAAUUUUAAUUUUUUCCAACUCCUUUGUGCUUCAGGGAAAGCUGGGACCUCAACAGUCCCAGGGGUGGGAGUUUUGAUUAGUCAAUAUCGGUGCAUCUUAACCCCGGCCACAGAUCAGAUCAUCUUCCGAGCUUUUACAAAUUGUCAAUGCUUGAAAGAAAAAAAGAAAAAAAAGACUGAGGGACCAGCCCUGUGGCCGAGCUGUUGAGCUCGAGCGCUCCACUGAGGCGGCGUCCCACAUGCCACAACUGGAAGGACCUACGACUAAAAUAUACAGUUAUGUACUGAGGGCCUUUGGGGAGAAAAAGCAGAAAGAAAAAAAAAGAUUGGCAACAGUUGUUAGCUCAGGUGCCAAUCUUUAAAAAAAAAAAAAUUGUCAAUGCCUGGGUCCCACCCCCAGCUAUUGUGAUUAAAUGGGUCUAAGCAGGGAAGAUAAUUUUAUUUCUGUUGCUAAUAACUGGUUGAGGAAUUGAUAUGUGACAUAACUCUGACCCUUAGAGGUGAAGUAAGUGGGCUGGGGUAUGUCUCUGGGAGGGUUAUCGUUGCUCUCGAAACAAGGAAAGGAAUGUUCUCUUCCAAUUUUCAGAUUUUUUUUUUUAGGUGAAUAUGUGUUUCCUUGUGCUGUGGCAGCCAUUUUGUGGCUAUGAGAGGCAAACCUGAAGUUCAAAGUCAAUACACUGAGGUGGGCAGAACAAGAUCAAAAGAACCUAGGACUAGAACAAUGGAGUUAACUAACCCUGGAACUGCCCUAUCAAGGAGGACAUUUAUGCCAUUUUUAGAUGGGUUCUCUGUUUCCUGAAGCUCUAAGCUCCUAUUUUACAAAAUAAGGAAACUGGAGCACAGAGAGGUUAAGCUAUCCGUCUACAGUCACACAGCUGGUAAGUUGCAAAGCCAGGGUUUGAAUGUGUCUGAUUCCAACUUCUGUGCUUUCAAUGACUAUGAUACAGAAUAGGGUUGGCAAACUAUGGCUUGUGGACCAAACCCCACCCACCACCCGUUUUUGUAAAUAAGGUUUUACUGGAACACAGCCAGACCCGGUUUGCGUAGGCAUCAUCUGUGGCUGCUCUUGCACUACAACAGAGUUUAGUGUUGUAAGAGACACUGUGAGUAGAAGGCCUGAAAUAGUUACUGUGUGGCUCUUUACGGAAAAAGUUUGCCGACCUCUGCUGGUCUAAGCCAAUCGUGGUAAUCCUAUCUUUCUUUAUCUGUGAUUGUCCGCUGGUGACAAUAUAAAUGGGUUUUGGCCAAUGAGAUUUAGGCAGAGUUCUGCUGAGGAGAUGCUUCUGAGAAAGGCAUUUCCCCUUUCAAAAGAGGUAGGAAGGAAGGUGGCCACCUCCCUUCUUCCCGCCUCUGGAGCAGGAAAGAUGAUGAGAGCUGAGCAGCCAUCUUAAAACCACAAGAGGGAGGAUCAAUAAUGGUAGAUGGCGGAGAGGAGCAUGCAGAGGCUCAGGGUUCACGACGCCGUUACCGCUCCCAUCCAGGGCUCUGACUCCCCACCUCCAGACUUCGUGUUGUGUUAGAUGAUAAAUAGUUUAAGUCACUUUUACAGCCUAUUCCAUUACCAGCAGCUGAGCUUAUCCUGUAUGGUCCAAACCCUAGGUCUGGAAUCACCAUCCUUAUUUUGCACUUAAGGAACCCCGAAUUCGGGGAGAUACAAGGACUCAUCUGAGGCGGUGUGCAGUGACGACCCCUGUUCCAUUACCCCUUGAUAGUAACAAACGAACUCAGCACUUGGGGCUUUGUUAUAUAUGCAAACAUUCUGUCACCAAAGGAGAAUGAACACGAAGGGCACUGCGGUUCCUAGCCAACAGUCAUUUCCUCUUUUUCCUACUAACAGAACCCGCCUUUCAUUGGGGCAGCAGCGCACCCGGCUCCAAGGGAGGAAGGAUAUUUGUUCUCAGCCAAUCACGGAAUUCUUUUAUCUCUUUGGGGGAAGUUUGACCUCUAGAUUUCUGAUUCCAGGGGGCGUCUGGGGUGGGGUGCGGCAGUCUGCGGGUGAUGCAGGUGCCUCCGCUCCGUAAAGCACACUUUGACUAACGCUAUUCUAUACCAAAGGUCAUAAACCCUCUCUGUAAAUGGCCAGAUAGUAAAUAUUUUAGGUUUUAUAGUCCAUAUAGUGUCUGUUGCACUAUUGAACUUUGCUGUAGCAGUGGCUCAGAAGCAGCCCCAGAGACACACAAAUUAGUGGGCAUGGCUGUGUUCCAAUAAAGCUUUAUUUACAAAAGCAGAUGGUGGGCCAUAUUUCACCUGUGGGCCAUAGUUUGCUGACCCCUUGCUUGACUAGUCCUGGUUCGUCUCCUGGUCCUGGGCCCAUCUUCUCCGAAUACAUUGCUGACUAAAAGCCAAACCAAUAGGGUUCUCUUGGGAAGGAAGACAUGGGUGAUGGCUUUUGGGUACGAGGUAAACUGUUGUGAUCUAAGCCAAUUUGGAGUGGAACAAUUCUUCGGUUAUUUUUGGCAGAGGUGAGAGUUAGCUGGCCCCUCACCGCUUACCUACAGGUCAUCAUAAAAAUCUAGUCUCUGUCCAAAUUCUGCUACUCUGAUAGCCAAACACUCAUUAGCAAAGCAAGCACGAGACAGUUCACGUUAACAGAUAAGAGGUUUGUUACUGUUAUUAAAUAAAUUAACAAACAAACAAACAUUUCAAAAAUUUCUCAUUUAAUUUCAAACAGGUAAGUAUAGAUAGAUCUAACUCUCAUAAAUAAAAGAUCUUUGGGGUCAUUGCAAAUUUUGAAGAGUGUACAAGGGUCCUGAGACCAAAACACUCAAGAACUGCUGACUUAGGUCAAUGUCAUACCUCCCUGCCUGGAGGUUUCACAGGAGGGAGACUAUUUCCUGUGAUUUCCUACAAAGCAAGAAAACAAUCGUGGUUAAGAAGGCAGGCUUGGGAUUCUGAAGGCUCGAGUUUAAAACUUUAUUCUAGAACUUGCAAAGUGGAUGAUAUGGGACCAGUCACUUAAAUCUUGGAGCUUCAGUUUCCUCAUCUGCAGAAUGGGGAUAAUGAGACCCACCUUUUCGGGGAGUCAUAAAGAUUAAAGUGGUGCUCGCUGAUCGUGAUCGAUGUACAGGCUUGUUUUGUGGAGGAGAGAAGUGGACCAGAGAGCACCUCUCAGGGGUCAGGAGUGGGCCUGAGACUCUGCAUUUCUCACAGGCCCCCAGGGCAUGCUGAUGCUGCUGGUUCCCCCACCACUCGGGAGACACCCUGGUCCCAAGCACAUCCCUUCAGAAGAACCCUGCAGUUCUCCUCAUCCAUUUUCAAAGUCCGGAUACUGAAACAUCAGCUUCUUUCUUUUCCGUUUUCGUUGCUUUUGUUGCAUUUUGACUCACUGUUUUUCCUAAUCUGGGUUACUCUGUCCUAACUGGUUUCCCCACCUUCGCUCUUCAUUUAGUGGAGAUGAACUGAGCACCUGCUACGUGCUGGGCCCUGUUCUGAGCCUUGGCCCUCAAGGUUCUGGGACCACCUUGAGCUUUCUCUAAAGUGUAAUCUGCUUCAACCCCUCAGGAGCUUCCCAGUGCUGUCAGGAUCAAGUCCAAGCUUGGGUGUUUCAGCACGGCUAAAAUCCCCCGCCGGACCUGGCCCCCUGGAGGCUCACCAGGAGCAACGGUCCCUCUUCUGUGGGCGUGGUUUCGAGGCUCAGAUGAAGUAACGCCUGUCACGCUGUUCCUUGGUCCUUGACAUGGAGGAGGGGAUCAACACGUGGGAGCUCUGUCGCUAAGACCUGGGAUCUGCUGGGAAUCAGGGAGGCCAACUAACUCAGCUACCCAGUGGUUCUCAACCGGGGAUGGGGGAGGAUUUUGCCCCCAGGCGCACUGGCAAUAUCUGGAGACGUUUUUGGUUGUCACAAUGUGGGGAGAGUGCUACUGGCAUCUAGUGGGUGGAGGUCAGGGAUGCUGCUAAAUACCCUGCAAUGCACAGGUCAGCCUCCUCCAUCCCCACCCCACCCCCACCCUCCCAUGACAGAGAAUUAUCUGGACCAAAACGUCACUAGGGCUGAGGUCAAGAAACACUGGAUGAGGCCACCCGGAAGAAGCUUCCCUCUUCUAUGCUCCAGAUCAAAUCCAUCGCCACUUCAGUUUCUCUGCAUGCCACUGUCUCUUGCUUGAGUGUACUAAAGUGGCCUAGUCUUUUCUCCAGGAGCACGCUUCCUACAGAUCUUCAACGGCUGGUUCCUCGUUCAAACGUCCCUCCCCAGGAAGCCUUCUCUGACCACCCACUGCAAGGCUGCUCCCGCCCUCCCUGGUUCUCCUCCUGUAGGCAGCCUAUUCGUUUCCUUCUAAUAUCUAUCACCAUCAGAUGGGACAUUUAUUUUCUUAGUUGAUCAGUUGAUUGUCUCCUGCACUCGAAUGUGAGCACCAUGAAGAGGAAGAGUCAGGUCUGUCUUGAUCAGGGGUUUGUAAACUACCACCUGUGGGCCAGAUUUGGCCCUUUGCCUCUUUUUGUAAAUAAAGCUUUAUUGGAACAAGCUAUGCCCGUUCUCUCAUGUAUUGUUGCUUGUGGUUGCUUUUGCUCUCCAACAGCAAACUUGAGUAGUUGUGAUAGACACUGAGCAGCCCGCAAAGCCAAGAUAGUCACCCUUUUCAGAAAAUGUGUGCCAACCCUGGUUGUGGUUAUUUGUCUAGUGCAGUGCCUGGCACAUAGUGGGCACUCAGCAAAUACUGAUCGAGUGUUUACUCAGUACCCUUAAUCCCACCUAAUCCUGCUUAGCACUCCAUGAGGUAGAUUCUAAUAAGGGUCCACAAACCUGAAACUUCCGAAGCCAUACUUUUAAAAACCAAAUUUGGCAGCAAAACCUGAUCUGAUCUGACCUGUUUGGCUGCAGAAUAUGCCUUGAACAAAUGCGAGGCUGUCGAUUGCCUAUAUUUCUCUCACUAAUUUGACCUUUGUGUGUUUCUCUGCAGACGUGUCGAUGAGGCAGAUUGAGGUGCUGCCCCAGGCCUCGCAGGCAAUGCUGUGUCCCAUACGGUAUAAGCAUCGCAUCACAUUUCUAAAAUCUCAAAAUUCUGAAUUCCAAAGCAUAUUCCACUAUAAGGGUUUGGACAAGAGAUUUGGAUGUGUAGUUUUCUUUAUUUUAAAGCUGAGGAAUGGAGAGACCAAACCAAAUAACAAUGCUUGUGAAUGGCAGGACCCAGAUUUGAAUCUCGGAUCUGAUCCCUGAGUUGUGGCUGUACCCGCUAGGCUCUCUCAGGAGAGGCGGGCUGGUGCUUGUUCACUGGAUGAAUUAAGGGGUUGACGAAGCUGGCUGGGCCUUGUUCUCACCCCUGGGCUGGUUUGCCCGCUACUCGGGAGGUUCCUGCCUUUCCUCUGUCAGAACAUCUUUCCAGGCCAAGUAUUGCAGCUGUAAAUGUGCAUGCAAAACACACAUGCACGCACACACACACUCACACACAUGUGCACACACACGUACAACUCAAAAAAGGAGCUACAUACUAUUAUAGUUUCUGCAGAUUUGUGGUCACUGUUGUUCUGAGCAAUCUCAUCUUUAUGAAUCAGGUGACAAAACCCACUAGUAACCAGGCAGGGGAAAGAAAACAGAUGCUUUUCCAGUCAGGCAGGAUGGAGCUGAGCAGUUGUCACUGUGGUUAAACCUCUGCCUCCAGGAAGACACAGCCCCUUGUAAAAAAUUAUUGCUGUUCUCUCUCUGGUUUUGGGAGCUGCC
Molecule: long non-coding RNA, 11821 nt
Organism: Equus caballus (horse)
Lineage: Eukaryota; Metazoa; Chordata; Mammalia; Perissodactyla; Equidae
Source: Ensembl